Molecule: transfer RNA, 83 nt
Filed under: Alosa alosa (allis shad)
Lineage: Eukaryota; Metazoa; Chordata; Actinopteri; Clupeiformes; Clupeidae
Description: tRNA-Ser
Rfam family: tRNA (bases 7-75)
About the family: Transfer RNA (tRNA) molecules are approximately 80 nucleotides in length. Their secondary structure includes four short double-helical elements and three loops (D, anti-codon, and T loops). Further hydrogen bonds mediate the characteristic L-shaped molecular structure. tRNAs have two regions of fundamental functional importance: the anti-codon, which is responsible for specific mRNA codon recognition, and the 3' end, to which the tRNAs corresponding amino acid is attached (by aminoacyl-tRNA synthetases). tRNAs cope with the degeneracy of the genetic code in two manners: having more than one tRNA (with a specific anti-codon) for a particular amino acid; and 'wobble' base-pairing, i.e. permitting non-standard base-pairing at the 3rd anti-codon position.
Source: RNAcentral
GCUGCGAUGGCCGAGAGGUUAAGGCGUUGGACUCGAAAUCCAAUGGGGUUUCCCCGCGCAGGUUCGAACCCUGCUUCAUGGCG